GCGGAGGGCGCGCGGCCGCCGCCCACGCCGCGCCGCCGCCCCGCGCCACGCCGCAACCGGCGCCGGUCGGACUCCAGUCCUGAUGAGAAUGAACCUCCUAACAACAUCGGCACACCGCAGUCCGUAAGGAAAUCAAGUCGCAAAGUGACAAGAGCAAAGAAAGUUGUUUCAAAUGAUUCUGAUGAAUCGGAUGAUGACGACGUUCAAGAAAAAGACGAUGAUGAAGUAUUUAAAAAACCGCCAGCCAGAAAAACUACGCGCAGAAGAAAGUAGGUUAUAAAUGUAAAAAAUGCGUUACAGAACAAAGUUAUGGAAUACAUACUUUUAAGAAUACUACACUG
Long non-coding RNA from Ostrinia nubilalis (European corn borer), 341 nucleotides. RefSeq lists it as uncharacterized. Lineage: Eukaryota; Metazoa; Arthropoda; Insecta; Lepidoptera; Crambidae. The record is from RefSeq and is a predicted model, not a curated record. The transcript has 3 exons.